GAGGGUUUGAUUCAAUGCUCCGUAAGCAUGCAACAAUAAACGGACAGACACAUGCAAGGUCUAUAAAAUGACCGUAAAGGUGAGUAACAACGC
Molecule: ribosomal RNA, 93 nt
Filed under: Dunaliella salina
Lineage: Eukaryota; Viridiplantae; Chlorophyta; Chlorophyceae; Chlamydomonadales; Dunaliellaceae
Also listed under: 1 other name
Description: small subunit ribosomal RNA
Source: RNAcentral